UAGGGAAUCUUCCACAAUGGACGCAAGUCUGAUGGAGCAACGCCGCGUGAGUGAAGAAGGUUUUCGGAUCGUAAAGCUCUGUUGUUGGUGAAGAAGGAUAGAGGCAGUAACUGGUCUUUAUUUGACGGUAAUCAACCAGAAAGUCACGGCUAACUACGUGCCAGCAGCCGCGGUAAUACGUAGGUGGCAAGCGUUGUCCGGAUUUAUUGGGCGUAAAGCGAGCGCAGGCGGAAUGAUAAGUCUGAUGUGAAAGCCAACGGCUCACCCGUGGAACUGCAUCGGAAACUGUCAUUCUUGAGUGCAGCAGAGGAGAGUGGAAUUCCAUGUGUAGCGGUGGAAUGCGUAGAUAUAUGGAAGAACACCAGUGGCGAAGGCGGCUCUCUGGUCUGCAACUGACGCUGAGGCUCGAAAGCAUGGGUAGCGAACAGG
This 429-nucleotide ribosomal RNA is filed under the name bacterium. Its description in RNAcentral is "partial 16S ribosomal RNA". It matches the Rfam family "Bacterial small subunit ribosomal RNA", at positions 355 to 776 of the family's 1533-position model. The record is from RNAcentral.